AGUGAACGCUGGCGGUAGGCCUAACACAUGCAAGUCGAACGGCAGCACAGUAAGAGCUUGCUCUUACGGGUGGCGAGUGGCGGACGGGUGAGGAAUACAUCGGAAUCUACUUUUUCGUGGGGGAUAACGUAGGGAAACUUACGCUAAUACCGCAUACGACCUACGGGUGAAAGCAGGGGAUCUUCGGACCUUGCGCGAUUGAAUGAGCCGAUGUCGGAUUAGCUAGUUGGCGGGGUAAAGGCCCACCAAGGCGACGAUCCGUAGCUGGUCUGAGAGGAUGAUCCGCCACACUGGAACUGAGACACGGUCCGGACUCCUACGGGAGGCAGCAGUGGGGAAUAUUGGACAAUGGGCGCAAGCCUGAUCCAGCCAUACCGCGUGGGUGAAGAAGGCCUUCGGGUUGUAAAGCCCUUUUGUUGGGAAAGAAAAGCAGCAGGUUAAUACCCCGCUGUUCUGACGGUACCCAAAGAAUAAGCACCGGCUAACUUCGUG
Molecule: ribosomal RNA, 492 nt
Filed under: uncultured bacterium
Lineage: Bacteria
Description: partial 16S ribosomal RNA
Rfam family: Bacterial small subunit ribosomal RNA
Source: RNAcentral